This 64-nucleotide transfer RNA is filed under the name Thalassina kelanang. RNAcentral's name for it is "tRNA-His". It matches the Rfam family "tRNA". From Rfam's summary of the family: Transfer RNA (tRNA) molecules are approximately 80 nucleotides in length. Their secondary structure includes four short double-helical elements and three loops (D, anti-codon, and T loops). The record is from RNAcentral. Lineage: Eukaryota; Metazoa; Arthropoda; Malacostraca; Decapoda; Thalassinidae.
AUUUAGGUAGUUUAAAGAAAACAUUGGUUUGUGGUACCAAAAAUGUAAGUUUUUACCUUAGAUC